RNAcentral lists this transfer RNA (77 nucleotides) under Allobrachymonas sp. RNAcentral's name for it is "tRNA-Val". It matches the Rfam family "tRNA". Rfam says of the family: Transfer RNA (tRNA) molecules are approximately 80 nucleotides in length. Their secondary structure includes four short double-helical elements and three loops (D, anti-codon, and T loops). The record is from RNAcentral. Lineage: Bacteria; Pseudomonadati; Pseudomonadota; Betaproteobacteria; Burkholderiales; Comamonadaceae. RNAcentral also lists the same sequence under 1 other name.
AGGCGCGUAGCUCAGCUGGUUAGAGCACCACCUUGACAUGGUGGGGGUAGUUGGUUCGAGUCCAAUCGCGCCUACCA